RNA transcript from Quercus lobata, 3559 nucleotides. It is a transcript of the gene named putative calcium-transporting ATPase 13, plasma membrane-type, with no coding region annotated. NCBI's taxonomy places the organism in Eukaryota, Viridiplantae, Streptophyta, Magnoliopsida, Fagales, Fagaceae. The transcript has a single exon. The record is from RefSeq and is a predicted model, not a curated record.
GAAUGAAAUUGUUACAAGCAUUGCAUAUUCUCCAUUAGCGUUUAGCAUUACUCUGCCUCUCUUUGCAACAACCCUAAACUCUCUUUGUGUUUUCACAAAAUAACUAAAUAAACAAAGAAACUGUGUUUUUUAGUCUUCCAGUUCAAACACUCUCUUUUCUCUCCAUUAGGCUCCAUUGUCAUGGCUACGUUGAGGUUUCGAAAGCCUAGCGAGAUUGAUAUAUGUGAUGAAACACAAGAAGAUUGGUGGUCGGCCUCCAAGACCCACAAGCGGAGAUGGAGAAUGGCUUUCACGGCCAUAUCUUUCACCAGGCUCCUUUUUUCCUUGUCCAAGAAAGUCCUCGACAAUGAUGGCUCUCUCUUGCGCACCCUUUCCUACGUUGCCAUUGACGUGCCGCGUAUCAACGAGGACUCCCCACUUGACAACAAAGCUGUUACAUUACUUACUGUUGAUCCAACAAAGCUUCGUGACAUGGUAAGGGAUAAAAACUUUCAGUCUCUAAGUGAGUUUGGAGGAGUUCAAGAACUUGCUUUAAUUCUUGAAACUGAUGUAAAAAAUGGUAUCAAUGGUGGUGAGGCUGAUCUUAUUCAUAGACAGAAUGUUUUUGGUGCAAAUAAAUAUCAAAAACCACCACCAAAAGGGUUUCUAAAAUUUGUGUUUGAUGCAUUAAAAGAUAUAACUAUUAUAAUAUUAUUGGCAUGUGCUGUACUCUCUCUAGGCUUUGGUAUCAAGCAACAUGGCUGGAAAGAUGGGUGGUAUGAUGGUGGGAGUAUCAUUCUUGCUGUCGUUUUGGUUGUUGUUGUGUCCGCAGUGAGUGACUUUAAACAAUCAAAGCAAUUUCAGAAGCUUUCAACAAAGAGUAGUGAUAUAAGAGUCGAAGUUGUGAGAGAAGGGAGGCGCCAACCUAUAUCAAUAUUUGAUGUUGUUGUGGGAGAUAUUGUGUGCUUAAAGAUUGGUGAUCAGAUACCCUCUGAUGGGUUAUUCGUGGAAGGGCAUUCCUUGAAGGUGGAUGAGUCUAGCAUGACGGGUGAAAGUGAUCACAUUGAAAUCAAGGAAGGGAAUCCCUUUAUGUUAUCAGGCACAAAGGUCACGGAUGGCUUCGGUUUCAUGCUUGUCACUUCUGUGGGCAUGAACACAGCGUGGGGCGAGAUGAUGAGUUCAAUAAACCGUGAUUUGAAUGAGGAGACACCAUUACAAGUACGCCUCAACAAGCUAACUUCUUAUAUUGGGAAGAUUGGACUGUUGGUGGCUGCACUUGUUCUUCUUGUUAUGUUGAUUCGGUAUUUCACAGGGAACACGAGAGAUGACAAGGGAAACAAGGAAUUCAAUGGCAGCAAGACAAAGUUUGAUGAUGUGAUGAAUGUAGUAGUGAGCAUUGUAUCUGCUGCUGUCACUAUCAUUGUAGUGGCUAUUCCAGAAGGCUUGCCACUGGCUGUUACUUUAACUCUGGCUUAUUCUAUGAAAUGCAUGAUGGCUGAUCAUGCUAUGGUCCGGAAACUAUCAUCUUGUGAGACAAUGGGCUCAGCUACAAUAAUCUGCACAGACAAAACAGGCACUCUCACACUAAAUGAAAUGAAAGUUACAGAGUUUUGGCUUGGAAAGGAAGCAAUGAAAGAUGACAGUUCUGCAGGUUUGGCAGGUAAUAUUCUCAAACUACUACAACAAGCAGUUAGCUUAAACACAACUGGUACAGUUUACAAACCACAUUCUACAUCAGUUCCUGAGAUUUCUGGUAGCCCAACUGAGAAAGCAAUCCUUUCUUGGGCUGUAUUAAAUUUGGAUACGAGUAUUGAUGACAUAAAGCAGAAUUAUCACACAAUCCAUGUAGAGGCCUUCAAUUCAGAGAAAAAGAGAACAAUGAGAAAACCAUUCAUACUCAUUGGAAGGGAGCUGCUGAAAUGAUACUGGCAAUGUGUUCAUCUUAUUAUGACAGAGAAGGGGUGCUGAAAGUAAUGGAUGAGGACGAAAGGUUGCAGUUUGAGUCUAUUAUUAAGAAUAUGGCACAAAAAAGCUUGAGAUGCAUUGCAUUUGCCUACAAAGAAGUUGAAGAAGAAAGUGGACAAGUUCUUGAGAAGCUUGACGAAAAUGGGCUGACAUUAUUAGGGUUAGUUGGCUUGAAGGAUCCAUGUCGGCCAGGAGUCAGUGCAGCUGUGGAGUCUUGCAGAGCUGCUGGAGUGAAUAUCAAAAUGAUCACUGGUGACAAUGUGCAUACAGCAAAGGCUAUAGCUCUUGAAUGCAAGAUUCUCAAUCCUAAUGAUGAUUUGGGUAAUGAAGCUGUAGUUGAAGGGGUGCAUUUUAGAAAUUACUCACCGGAAGAGAGAAUGGAAAAGAUUGAUAAAAUCCUUGUAAUGGCCAGGUCAUCCCCUUUUGACAAGCUUCUUAUGGUACAAUGCUUGAAGCAGAAAGGCCAUGUUGUUGCAGUCACAGGUGAUGGAACCAAUGAUGCACCUGCACUAAAGGAAGCUGACAUUGGGCUUUCAAUGGGUAUCCAGGGAACUGAAGUGGCAAAAGAGAGCUCAGAUAUAGUCAUCCUAGAUGACAAUUUUACCACUGUGGUAACAGUAUUGAGGUGGGGAAGGUGUGUAUACACUAACAUACAAAAGUUUCUUCAGUUUCAGCUCACCGUGAAUGUUGCUGCCCUUGUUAUCAACUUUGUUGCAGCUGUUUCUUCUGGUAAGGUUCCUUUGACUGCAGUCCAACUAUUAUGGGUAAAUCUGAUAAUGGAUACAUUGGGAGCUUUAGCCUUGGCUACUGAGAAACCCACUAAUGAUCUUAUGACAAAGCCACCUGUUGGUCGAUUGGAGCCACUUAUAACCAAAAUCAUGUGGAGGAAUCUCAUAGCACAGGCUGUGUAUCAAGUAACCAUCUUAUUGGUUUUACAAUUUAAGGGAAAAUCCAUCUUUGGUGUAAAGGAGAGCAUUAAGAGCACCCUCAUUUUCAAUACUUUUGUCCUCUGCCAAGUAUUCAAUGAAUUUAACGCAAGGAAACUGGAGAAGAAGAAUAUAUUCAAAGGGAUACUUACGAACAAGCUGUUUAUGGCAAUUGUUGGGAUCACCAUAGUUCUUCAGCUGGUGAUGGUGGAGUUUCUGAAGAGGUUUGCCAAUACUGAGAGACUGAAUUGGGGGCAAUGGGGUGUUUGCAUUGGACUUGCAGCUUUGUCAUGGCCAAUUGGUUGGCUUGUAAAGUUCAUCCCAGUUUCAGGCAAGCAGUUGGGAAACCAAAGAGCUUCUAUGUUCGGAAGCACCAGCCAAUAUUAGCCCUUAAUCAAGUGACAAGUAUGUUUUAAGUACUCUUUUUGCAUUACCAGAAUUCUGUAUAAGGUUUCUCAAAUUAGGGCAUACUUUGAUGCAACCUAUAUUCCCAUAUAAAAGUAAAUAAUAAAUAAAUAAACUGCUCUAGUAUGUGGCCAACUAGGCAGGUAGACAGGUUUCGUGAAAGAAGGAAAUAAAUUUUAGUAGUAACACAGGACAUUGAAUCAAAAAAUUAAAAAUACAAGCAAAACAUUUGUAAUAAUAUGAAAGAUUAGUCAAUGAGAUCAAAUUGUUUGUAAUAUAUAGUA